Molecule: ribosomal RNA, 456 nt
Filed under: uncultured bacterium
Lineage: Bacteria
Description: bacterial SSU rRNA
Rfam family: Bacterial small subunit ribosomal RNA
Source: RNAcentral
UACGGAAGGCAGCAGUGGGGAAUAUUGGACAAUGGGCGCAAGCCUGAUCCAGCCAUGCCGCGUGUGUGAAGAAGGCCUUCGGGUUGUAAAGCACUUUUGUCCGGAAAGAAAAGCUUAGGGUUAAUAACCUUGAGUCAUGACGGUACCGGAAGAAUAAGCACCGGCUAACUUCGUGCCAGCAGCCGCGGUAAUACGAAGGGUGCAAGCGUUACUCGGAAUUACUGGGCGUAAAGCGUGCGUAGGUGGUUUUGUUAAGUCUGAUGUGAAAGCCCUGGGCUCAACCUGGGAAUGGCAUUGGAAACUGGCUUACUAGAGUGCGGUAGAGGGGUGUGGAAUUCCCGGUGUAGCAGUGAAAUGCGUAGAUAUCGGGAGGACAUCUGUGGCGAAGGCGACACCCUGGGACCAGCACUGACACUGAGGCACGAAAGCGUGGGGAGCAAACAGGGAUUAGAUACC